GUGGGAUGUCAGCUUCUGUUAUGCAGACAGCUUUCUGCCAGAGAGGUACGAAAUGACGGGUACCGUAAGAAUAAGGAUCGGCUAACUCCGUGCCAGCAGCCCCGGUAAUAUCGGAGGAUGCAAGCGUUAUCCGGAAUCACUGGGCGUAAAGCGUCCGUAGGCGGGUUGAUAUAGUCCAGUGGUGAAAUUUCCCAGCUCUACCUUCUAAAUUUGCACAUUGAUACUAUUAUUCUAGAGUGUCUUGAGAGGUGGAUAGAAUGUCCAGUGGAGCGGUGAAAUGCAUAGAUAUUGAUCAGAACACCGAUGGCGAAGGCAGAUCACUGGCAAAUCACUGACAGCCUCAGGGACGAAAGCUUGGGUAGCGAACGGGAUUAGAUACCCCCGGUAGUCCAAGCCGUAAACGAUGGUUACUAGAUGUUGUGGCACAUCUGGCGAUUUCAGUGGCUAAGCUAACAAGCAUAGUAUCCCGGCC
RNAcentral lists this ribosomal RNA (472 nucleotides) under uncultured Bacteroidota bacterium. RNAcentral describes it as "bacterial SSU rRNA". It matches the Rfam family "Bacterial small subunit ribosomal RNA", at positions 418 to 873 of the family's 1533-position model. The record is from RNAcentral. Lineage: Bacteria; Pseudomonadati; Bacteroidota.